GUGAGCCACCAAGCCCAGCCUCCCCACAGAUUUUUAAAAGGGCCCUGGGUAACACAGACUGGGAUCUGCUAAGUCACUAAAUGACCCUUUUAAAUAAAGAAGGAAGUCAUAAACCUCCACUUAAAAGGAGUGGGGGAUGGCAACAGAAACACAGCCAGUCAGAAGCCGGAAGGGUCUCACUCAACUCAUCCCCAAGCAGUCCUCGGGGAGCACCACGGUGAGCUGUGAGGAGCCAGCCCAGCACGGCACACACAACGAACAGAGAAGGAGCUUCUACUGCUUAACCAGAUGUAGAAACUGACGCACGCACAGAGAGGUCACGUGUGAUAUGGUUUGGACGUUGUCCCCUCCAAAUCUCAUGCUGAAAUGUGAUCCCUGAUGUUGGA
This 386-nucleotide long non-coding RNA is filed under the name Homo sapiens (human). RNAcentral's name for it is "HSALNT0391818". Lineage: Eukaryota; Metazoa; Chordata; Mammalia; Primates; Hominidae. The record is from RNAcentral.